AGAUUUUACUUCACAUUCCUCUUUGUUCUCCGUGCAGUGACUAAAGCAGCAGAUUACUUGGAGCAGGCUGAGUAUGACACUGGUAAUCAUGAGGAAGACCUGAAAACGCAGUCUUUGAUGAGGCAGCUACUCUACAAUCCUAAACUCCAAGAUUCAUGUCCUCUACCAUUUGAUGAAGCAAAGCUCUGGAAAGGUCAAAGCGGACCCCCACUAAAGCAACAGAUUCAAAACCAAUUCAGAAACAUUAGUGCAUCAAUGGAUUGUGUGGGCUGCGACAAGUGUCGGCUUUGGGGAAAGCUUCGGGUUCUUGAUCU
Prunus dulcis (almond) is the source of this 314-nucleotide long non-coding RNA. RefSeq lists it as uncharacterized. The record is from RefSeq and is a predicted model, not a curated record. The transcript is spliced from 3 exons. Lineage: Eukaryota; Viridiplantae; Streptophyta; Magnoliopsida; Rosales; Rosaceae.